AGUACAGUAAGGGAAUCCUUACACAAAUGUAGGAGUGGGCACAAUAUAACCAAGUUGCAGAAAAUUGUAUAACCUGUGUGACAGCCCUUGAGAAGUGACAGCAACACCCUAACUGCCCCAAGAUGUGUGUGUAUUGCACAAGUGAGAGCCAUGUCCUGGAUGUUGCGGGAAUGUGCCCGUUUGAGCUGGAUCCUCUGCUGGAGCUGAAGAAGGGUCACACCGGUUCCUCUCUGCUCUGACACAACCAGAGCAGCCCUACAGACAGUUCUUUGCAGAUUUCAUGGUAAUUUCACUGUAAAUAAGUGAAGUCAUAGAAGCACAGAAUUGUUAAGGUUUGAAAAGACCUCUGAGAUCAUCAAGUCCAACCUUUGACCAAACACCACCACCUUUGAGCAAAACUAGACCACGGCAUCAAGCACCGCAUCCAGUCCUUGAAGUCCUGAGGGAGAAAACCCACACCAGAACCUUUCUGGAGAACAUGACUAGCUGUUCUCCAGCUUUGCAUAGGCCUUGGAAAGGAUGGAGCUUCUGACUUCAGAACAAAAGAGGAAGAAACAUGCCAGUGGAAGGAAAUGUUACUGGAGCUGAAGGCGCUGCUUUGGGGCAGCUCUGAGGCUGAGUUUUCAGUCCAUAGACACUUCUUCUUGAACAGCAAGAGAAACAUAAUUCAAAGCUAUUCCACUUGAAUAAUAUGCCUUCACAAACUCCUGGGAUUUGCCUUUCAGUGUGAAUUUCUGCAGUGCUUAUGUGAACAUACAGAUUUCUUUUGUGUUGUAAGAUUUCUGCAAUAUCUGAACUUUAACAUUUUAACAUAGUCCUAUGAUUCCCAGCUUGUCACUUUUCCUAGAAUUGCUGCAGUAAUGCUGAAAUAGAACAAUAAAUCCACUGUGAUGAUGAAUGUUUUGAGUGAAAAGGCUGCAGCACUUUGUCCACAUGAGCAAGGACUGAUCAGACCAAGAGUGCUGUAAAACUCAGUCACCACUUCUGCCAUUCCUUUUCUGCUGCUGAAAACUGGUGAUUCUUCUUUUAGAGGUGCAGAGGGAAGGAGUCUCUUCCCCUCCCCCUGCUCCCAGAUGAAAAGUUGUGGUUUCUCCCCACUAACACAAUAUCAGUACCUUUGCCAUGUUUUCAGUCCUGGGUUGGGAAUUCAUUGUACAAUGUGGGUCUU
Corapipo altera (White-ruffed manakin) is the source of this 1168-nucleotide long non-coding RNA. RefSeq lists it as uncharacterized. The record is from RefSeq and is a predicted model, not a curated record. The transcript is spliced from 3 exons. Lineage: Eukaryota; Metazoa; Chordata; Aves; Passeriformes; Pipridae.